Molecule: ribosomal RNA, 274 nt
Filed under: uncultured bacterium
Lineage: Bacteria
Description: partial 16S ribosomal RNA
Rfam family: Bacterial small subunit ribosomal RNA
Source: RNAcentral
AUACGGAGGGAACAAGCGUUAUUCGGAAUCACUGGGCGUAAAGGACGCGUAGGCGGGUUAUUAAGUCGGGUGUGAAAUCCAAUGGCUCAACCAUUGAACUGCAUUCGAAACUGAUAACCUGGAGUAUGGAAGGGGCAGGUGGAAUUAGUGGUGUAGGGGUAAAAUCCGUAGAUAUCACUAGGAAUACCGAAAGCGAAGGCAACCUGCUGGGACAUUACUGACGCUGAGGCGUGAAAGCGUGGGGAGCAAACAGGAUUAGAUACCCGAGUAGUCC